RNAcentral lists this ribosomal RNA (495 nucleotides) under uncultured bacterium. RNAcentral describes it as "partial 16S ribosomal RNA". It matches the Rfam family "Bacterial small subunit ribosomal RNA", at positions 28 to 523 of the family's 1533-position model. The record is from RNAcentral.
GAUGAACGCUAGCGGGAGGCCUAACACAUGCAAGCCGAGCGGUAUUGUUUCUUCGGAAAUGAGAGAGCGGCGUACGGGUGCGUAACACGUGUGCAACCUGCCUUUAUCUGGGGGAUAGCCUUUCGGAAGGAAGAUUAAUACUCCAUAAUAUAUUGAACGGCAUCGUUUAAUAUUGAAAGCUCCGGCGGAUAGAGAUGGGCACGCGCAAGAUUAGCUAGUUGGUGAGGUAACGGCUCACCAAGGCGAUGAUCUUUAGGGGGCCUGAGAGGGUGAUCCCCCACACUGGUACUGAGACACGUACCAGACUCCUACGGGAGGCAGCAGUGAGGAAUAUUGGUCAAUGGGUGCAAGCCUGAACCAGCCAUCCCGCGUGAAGGACGACUGCCCUAUGGGUUGUAAACUUCUUUUGUAUAGGGAUAAACCUACCCUCGUGAGGGUAGCUGAAGGUACUAUACGAAUAAGCACCGGCCAACUCCGUGCCAGCCGCCGCGGUAA